CAACGCUGGCGGCGCGCUUAACACAUGCAAGUCGCACGAGAAAGGGGAGCAAUCCCUGAGUACAGUGGCGUACGGGUGAGUAACACGUGGAUGAUCUACCUUCUAGUGGGGAAUAACCCUGGGAAACCGGGGCUAAUACCGCAUAAGCUCGAGAGAGGAAAGCAGCAAUGCGCUGGAAGAGGAGUCCGCGGCCGAUUAGCUAGUUGGCAGGGUAAAAGCCUACCAAGGCAGAGAUCGGUAGCCGGCCUGAGAGGGCACACGGCCACACUGGCACUGAAACACGGGCCAGACUCCUACGGGAGGCAGCAGUGGGGAAUCUUGCACAAUGGGGGAAACCCUGAUGCAGCGACGCCGCGUGAGCGAUGAAGCCCUUCGGGGUGUAAAGCUCUUUCGGCAGGGAAGAUGAUGACGGUACCUGCAGAAGCAGCUGCGGCUAACUACGUGCCAGCAGCCGCGGUAAUACGUAGGCAGCGAGCGUUGUUCGGAGUUACUGGGCGUAAAGGGUGUGUAGGCGGUUGUUUAAGUUUGGUGUGAAAUCUCCCGGCUCAACUGGGAGGGUGCGCCGAAUACUGAAUGACUUCGAGUGCGGGAGAGGAGAGUGGAAUUCCUGGUGUAGCGGUGAAAUGCGUAGAUAUCAGGAGGAACACCGGUGGUGUAGACGGCUCUCUGGACCGUAACUGACGCUGAGACACGAAAGCGUGGGUAGCAAACAGGAUUAGAUACCCUGGUAGUCCACGCCCUAAACGAUGCAUAUUUGGUGUGGGCAGUUCAUUCUGUCCGUGCCGGAGCUAACGCGUUAAAUAUGCCGCCUGGGGAGUACAGUCGCAAGG
Molecule: ribosomal RNA, 830 nt
Filed under: uncultured bacterium
Lineage: Bacteria
Description: bacterial SSU rRNA
Rfam family: Bacterial small subunit ribosomal RNA
Source: RNAcentral